GGAGGCAGAGCGGAGAGCCGGCGGCGGAGUCCGAGCAGCACGCGCGGCCAACUGUCCUGGCGGGAUAUGAGACACCCGUCAUAAGCUCCGGAGAGGUGCCUUCCACAGAGACCAGCAGAGGAGUGGGCCAACAUGAAGUCCAGUCCUGCCAUCCAAGCUGCCAUUGACCUCACAGCGGGGGCUGCAGAUUUUAUCUAUUUACUGAGCAUAAGCAGGGGGAUCAGCAGACAGAGAGGGAGAAGCAGUCUCCCUAAUGAGCAGGAGACCAAUGAGGGGUUCGACCCAAGACCCUGGGAUCAGGACCUGAGCUAUCCAGGUGCCUGACCGGGCAGCUCUUUGACACCUUGAAAGUGAAGAUGCAGACGUUCCCUGACCUGUACCGGGGCCUCACCGACUGCUGCCUGAAGACCUACUCCCAGGUGGGCUUCCGCGGCUUCUACAAGGGGACCAGCCAACGUUGAUCGCCAGCAUCGCCGAGAACUCGGUCCUCUUCAUGUGCUACGGCUUCUGCCAACAGGUGGUGCGGAAAGUGGUUGGAUUGGAGAAGCAGGCCAGGCUGAGUGAUCUGCAGAACGCAGCCGCAGGAUCCUUCGCCUCUGCCUUUGCGGCCCUGGUGCUCUGCCCCACUGAGCUCGUCAAGUGCCGGCUGCAGACCAUGUAUGAGAUGGAGGCGUCAGGGCAGAUCGCCAGAAGCCACAAGUAAGCGCUGUUCGGGCACAAACGCAGGGUCUCUCGUUGCCUUGCUGCAUUGAUUAUAUGUCAGUUUUAUAUUCUACUAAAACUCAGUGGCAGAGAAAGAGAUUUAUCUACUCCAAAAUACUGUGUUUUUAGAACUCUUUCCCCUACCAGUCAGAGGGGGACUUCCUAAAUGACCUUUCAGAGGGCCGGAUCCACUCCUGCUCCCUCAACGGACCACUGUCUGCAGAUGUUUCUCACCUGGACGUGGAGAGGCCGAGAGAUCCUCUCACUCUUGGCUCAUUGAGCGCAUGAGGCAGCGUCCCCGGCUGUGUUGGAGGCACACAGCAGACAGCUUUGAAACCGUGUCUGAGAGCUGAGCCUUUAGAAAUGCCAACUUGGUUUCCAAGAUGAAUAUUUGGUGCCCAAUCCUACCUUGGUAGGAUUGCAGAUGAUUUCUUUGGACCGUCUAUGGCCUGCUGAUGCACUUUGGCCCACUCACUCACUCGCUGCCUCCACCGACCAGAAACCCUUCCCGGGAGCAGAGUGCCAAAGCCAAGAGAAGCCCUUGUUCCCUGUCUGGUGCCUGAAGGACAGCGCUCGUGGGCAAGGUCCUCUUUCGGAUGGAACUGGACAGAACAGAGGGCUUGUCCUCCACAGUGAGUGAUGUUGGGGUGACCCUCUUGUUUACGUUUAUCUCAGGAUCACUAACUGCCAUAUUUCUUAUUGGGUUGGAGCCUUUUACAUUUGGUACUGGCAGUCCGUGGAUCUUCAGGAUUGUAUAUAGGGGGUGACUUUACAAAGCAAUGAAACAAGCCAAGUAAUUUUAUUUAGCUAUGCCAUACGAAUGCACUAACCACCACCACAAAACUCCAGGUUACCUGGUGUAAGAGGGUCCCUUCUCGUCCCCACUUAGGCAAGCCUCAUCACACCGUGCUGCUCCAAGACCAGCAAGGGCUCUCUCGGAAACCAGUGUUCUUAAGCAGGCUGACACUGCUAACCUCUGUCCCGUGUGUGUGUGUGUCCUUGUUGGCACAGUGUCCCCCUCGAGUGAAACCUCUGGUUUCCUGAAGCUUUUUGUUCUCUGCAGAGGCUCUGUGCUAACUCUAGCCCUGCGCCAGAAGCCAGAUGGUCGGGGCAGUGAGCAGCUGCUCUUUCUGUGUACUGCAGUUGUGCAAGUCGGUCCCCCAGCAGCAUUCUUCUGCCUGCUUGUGUGGAUGGGGUUGAUGUAGCAGGAAAGUGUUCUAUUUUUUUUUUUUUAAUAGCUAAAUUUCCUAUUAUGUUUGGGUAUCUAUACCAGGGUAGUCAGAUCUAUUUGAAAAAAACCAGUAUCAUUCUGAUGUACCAUGAUGUAAGAUUCUCGAGUUGUUCAAGGAAGUAUUUAUGUCAGGUUGUAAGGAGACAAGCCUGUAAAUUCUCUUUAUGUGAGCAAAAGCACAAGAGUGUAGCAACUCAGUGGCCAGGAAUUUGGAUGCAUCUUGGAGGGUUAGGGAAGAGGAACCCUAACUGUAAUCUUCUUUCAAAAAGCAAGUCUUGAAAAUUGGGGUUUUCUUCCUUAGUGCCAGCUAAGUAUCUACCCCCCCACCCCACCCCCUCCCCUGUCCAUUUACCUAAGCCUGCCACCUGGUCUGCCCCUCUGGCUUAUGGCUGCAUGCAUGUUCAAGGGAACAGUACAAACUGUUUAGCGGCAACAUGUGUUUCUGUAACACGAAUUAUAGCAAGUAAUGUAGUCAGAGCUUUUCCUAAAAAGCCUUUAUAUGGGCUGUUGCACUGGUAGCUGAGACCCUUUGAGGGCUAUUUGGAGGGAAAGAGAGCACCUGCAUCCAGGCAUGUUCAUAAAUAAGGACAUUUUAUUUAUAUAAUAUAUAAAUAUAUAAACAUAUACAUAAUGAUGUUAAGGUAACAACAUCCAGCAAUGAAGAGAAUAGGAUUCCUUGUGGACACUGGACUAACCAGUGUUGAUAGUGAAAAAAUGAUCUUCACAGAGUUUUCCUACAUUUAAAUGAAGUUGGCUUGGAGCAGAGUCUGUGUCAGGGGGUGUACUUUAAAAUCAUCUAGAUUUCUCUAGGCAGACAUUUCCUUUGACUUCACAGUGAUGUUACAAAGAGAAUCUACUGUAACGUCUGCUUAUGUUUACCCAGAUUCUCUUGUCCUCCAAGGACUGCCUGUUAUUGAAGCUUGUAUCACAAGCUCUGCGGGGACUGCUUAUAGGAACGGUCAUGUGGGCUCAAGCCUUGUUCUGGUGUCAGUCGGAGGUUUGUUAAAUAGCUUAGAACUGACCUCUUCAAUCUGACAUUACACAUGUGAAAGCAGGGACUACUUGCCCAAAAAUACAUAAUAAACCUCACGCAAUAUUGUGAGGAAUCAUUUUAAAUGUUAUUUUGAUAUGAAAGUUCUUUUCAAACUUUUAACUUUGUCACACAGUCCCCAGAAACAGUAGUUGUCUCAACUCUGGCAUAUACGUCCUUCAGGAAAGAAAAAGGACCAUUAACCUUGCAUAUUGUAUAUACUUAAGGUUGUCAAAAAUGUGUAUGUAAAUGUAACUAUAAGUAUACAUGCAAGGAAGGAGGGUUAGGAGACCUAAAUGUGUGGCAGGGAUUGUGGAGAACAGGGUUCUGUCCCAGAUGGCACUAGUAUCUCACUUCUUCAAAAUACAGCUCGACUGCAAACUCCUCACGGUAGAUUUUCCAUGUUUUUUUUUUUUUUAUGGGGAUUAUCGAUUUCAUUUCGUGGAAGGUAAAGCCUAGGAAAGAAGAAACAUGUUUCAAGCACAGAAGGCCAACCAGGGUUAGUCUUAGUCCCUCUCCUGUGCCUCAGUUGGCACAUACAAGUGGAAGGGCUUGGUAACAUCUGGGAUCGCCAAUGUUGGGGCAGUCAGUAAGGCUGUUUGUCAUUCCCGAAAUGCUCCUUCUGCCGCAGUUGUCCACUCUACCAUAGUGAGUCCUCCCUUAGCCAGUUCACAGAGAGGUCGCACCAUCUCUGCAAACCGCAGUAUCCACAGCUUGCAGCAGCCCACCGUCCCAAGGAACUCCCUCAUGGAGACCGAAGCCUAAAUAAGUGGCGGCUCUGACAGAGCUGUGUUUUUAUUGCUGACACCCAAUACCCUUUUCCCUGCAGAGUUUGUAAGAGAGCUCUCGUC
Neogale vison (American mink) is the source of this 3814-nucleotide long non-coding RNA. RefSeq lists it as uncharacterized. Lineage: Eukaryota; Metazoa; Chordata; Mammalia; Carnivora; Mustelidae. The record is from RefSeq and is a predicted model, not a curated record. The transcript is spliced from 4 exons.